Molecule: ribosomal RNA, 446 nt
Filed under: uncultured bacterium
Lineage: Bacteria
Description: partial 16S ribosomal RNA
Rfam family: Bacterial small subunit ribosomal RNA
Source: RNAcentral
ACCAGACUCCUACGGGAGGCAGCAGUGGGGAAUAUUGCACAAUGGGGGAAACCCUGAUGCAGCGACGCCGCGUGAGCGAAGAAGUACCUCGGUAUGUAAAGCUCUAUCAGCAGGGAAGAAGAUGACGGUACCUGACCAAGAAGCUCCGGCUAAAUACGUGCCAGCAGCCGCGGUAAUACGUAUGGAGCAAGCGUUAUCCGGAUUUACUGGGUGUAAAGGGAGCGCAGGCGGCCUUGCAAGUCUGGAGUGAAAGGCGGGGGCUCAACCCCCGGACUGCUCUGGAAACUGUACGGCUGGAGUGCAGGAGAGGUAAGUGGAAUUCCUAGUGUAGCGGUGAAAUGCGUAGAUAUUAGGAGGAACACCAGUGGCGAAGGCGGCCUACUGGACUGUAACUGACGUUGAGGCUCGAAAGCGUGGGGAGCAAACAGGAUUAGAUACCCUAGUAU